Molecule: ribosomal RNA, 748 nt
Filed under: Escherichia coli
Lineage: Bacteria; Pseudomonadati; Pseudomonadota; Gammaproteobacteria; Enterobacterales; Enterobacteriaceae
Description: partial 23S ribosomal RNA
Rfam family: Bacterial large subunit ribosomal RNA
Source: RNAcentral
UGUAUAAUGGGUCAGCGACUUAUAUUCUGUAGCAAGGUUAACCGAAUAGGGGAGCCGAAGGGAAACCGAGUCUUAACUGGGCGUUAAGUUGCAGGGUAUAGACCCGAAACCCGGUGAUCUAGCCAUGGGCAGGUUGAAGGUUGGGUAACACUAACUGGAGGACCGAACCGACUAAUGUUGAAAAAUUAGCGGAUGACUUGUGGCUGGGGGUGAAAGGCCAAUCAAACCGGGAGAUAGCUGGUUCUCCCCGAAAGCUAUUUAGGUAGCGCCUCGUGAAUUCAUCUCCGGGGGUAGAGCACUGUUUCGGCAAGGGGGUCAUCCCGACUUACCAACCCGAUGCAAACUGCGAAUACCGGAGAAUGUUAUCACGGGAGACACACGGCGGGUGCUAACGUCCGUCGUGAAGAGGGAAACAACCCAGACCGCCAGCUAAGGUCCCAAAGUCAUGGUUAAGUGGGAAACGAUGUGGGAAGGCCCAGACAGCCAGGAUGUUGGCUUAGAAGCAGCCAUCAUUUAAAGAAAGCGUAAUAGCUCACUGGUCGAGUCGGCCUGCGCGGAAGAUGUAACGGGGCUAAACCAUGCACCGAAGCUGCGGCAGCGACGCUUAUGCGUUGUUGGGUAGGGGAGCGUUCUGUAAGCCUGCGAAGGUGUGCUGUGAGGCAUGCUGGAGGUAUCAGAAGUGCGAAUGCUGACAUAAGUAACGAUAAAGCGGGUGAAAAGCCCGCUCGCCGGAAGACCAAGGGUUCCU